GGAGUUGUGGCUCAGUGGUAGAGCACUUGCCUCACAUGUAUGCGGCACUGGUUCUAAUACUCAGCACUA
Molecule: transfer RNA, 69 nt
Filed under: Marmota marmota marmota (Alpine marmot)
Lineage: Eukaryota; Metazoa; Chordata; Mammalia; Rodentia; Sciuridae
Also listed under: 1 other name
Rfam family: tRNA
About the family: Transfer RNA (tRNA) molecules are approximately 80 nucleotides in length. Their secondary structure includes four short double-helical elements and three loops (D, anti-codon, and T loops). Further hydrogen bonds mediate the characteristic L-shaped molecular structure. tRNAs have two regions of fundamental functional importance: the anti-codon, which is responsible for specific mRNA codon recognition, and the 3' end, to which the tRNAs corresponding amino acid is attached (by aminoacyl-tRNA synthetases). tRNAs cope with the degeneracy of the genetic code in two manners: having more than one tRNA (with a specific anti-codon) for a particular amino acid; and 'wobble' base-pairing, i.e. permitting non-standard base-pairing at the 3rd anti-codon position.
Source: Rfam by way of RNAcentral